AGAGCGAACGCUGGCGGCAGGCCUAACACAUGCAAGUCGAGCGCCCGUAGCAAUACGGGAGCGGCAGACGGGAUAGUAACACGUGGGAACGCGCCCUUCGGUUCGGAAUAACUCAGGGAAACUUGAGCUAAUACCGAAUACGCCCUUACGGGGAAAGAUUUAUUGCCGAAGGAACGGCCCGCGUCCGAUUAGCUAGUUGGUGAGGUAAUGGCUCACCAAGGCUACGAUCGGUAGCUGGUCUGAGAGGAUGACCAGCAUCACUGGGACUGAGACACGGCCCAGACUCCUACGGGAGGCAGCAGUGGGGAAUAUUGGACAAUGGGCGCAAGCCUGAUCCAGCCAUGCCGCGUAGAUGAUGAAGGCCUUAGGGUUGUAAAGUCCUUUUAACGGGGAAGAUAAUGACGGUACCCGUAGAAUAAGCCCGGCUAACUUCGCGCCAGCAGCCGC
This 447-nucleotide ribosomal RNA is filed under the name uncultured bacterium. RNAcentral's name for it is "SSU rRNA". It matches the Rfam family "Bacterial small subunit ribosomal RNA", at positions 26 to 518 of the family's 1533-position model. The record is from RNAcentral.